Molecule: ribosomal RNA, 469 nt
Filed under: uncultured bacterium
Lineage: Bacteria
Description: partial 16S ribosomal RNA
Rfam family: Bacterial small subunit ribosomal RNA
Source: RNAcentral
GACGAACGCUGGCGGCGUGCUUAACACAUGCAAGUCGAACGGUGAAGCGAGUGCUUGCACUCGUGGAUCAGUGGCGAACGGGUGAGUAACACGUGAGUAACCUGCCCAUCACUCUGGGAUAAGCACUGGAAACGGUGUCUAAUACUGGAUACGACCAACCCUUGCAUGGGGUGUUGGUGGAAAGAUUUAUCGGUGAUGGAUGGACUCGCGGCCUAUCAGCUUGUUGGCGGGGUAAUGGCCCACCAAGGCGACGACGGGUAGCCGGCCUGAGAGGGUGACCGGCCACACUGGGACUGAGACUCGGCCCAGACUCCUACGGGAGGCAGCAGUGGGGAAUAUUGCACAAUGGGCGAAAGCCUGAUGCAGCGACGCCGCGUGAGGGAUGACGGCCUUCGGGUUGUAAACCUCUUUCAGCAGGGAAGAAGCGAAAGUGACGGUACCUGCAGAAGAAGCACCGGCUAACUACGUG